AAGUCGUAACAAGGUUUCCGUAGGUGAACCUGCGGAAGGAUCAUUAACACAAUACUUUCUAUUAUCAAUAACCUUUGUGCACUGUCGGAGCCUUCUUUAACGUGGGGUCGACUAGAUCAUGGUUGGAAUGCGGUCUAGCCUGCUGUCAAGUUUCCCCGUCAUUCAUUCUUCCUCGGAAGGGUGUCUAGGCGAUCGGUUUAACGCCCCGUUUUCGAAGGUGAAACAGCCUCAACCAUGGCUGUGCCCUAUUUUUUUUUUAACCUCUUGAUUUUUGUACUGAUUUGGGCUGUUGUUGAUUGAGAGGAGCGAUCCUUUCUCAUUGCAGCUUGUGUUGAAUGCUUGUCAUUCUAUCACUAACCAAAACACAACUCUUAACAGUGGAUAUCUCGGUUCUC
Molecule: unclassified non-coding RNA, 395 nt
Filed under: fungal sp.
Lineage: Eukaryota; Fungi
Description: partial internal transcribed spacer region
Rfam family: Eukaryotic small subunit ribosomal RNA (bases 1-46)
Source: RNAcentral